UGGUCUUUCUCUUAUACAUAACAUAACAUACAUAAUCCAUGGUGCCGGGGGCGUAGUGCAGGCCACGUCCGGUCUUUCUCUUACAUAGUGCCAGGGGCGUAGUGCAGGCCACACCUGGACUUCCAUACCAUAUCAUCAUGUCAUAACAUAUGAGGGCUAAUGGAUCAUUCAACAUUCAUCCACAUCAACAACAUAUUAUGCAAUGCAACAUAUUCGUGAUUUCUAAUGCAAACAACCUAAAAUAUCACAUGGCAUCCGUGAUGCAUGAACAUGCUCAAAACUGAUUUAUUUACUUAAGAGCAUAAGAGUUAUU
RNAcentral lists this long non-coding RNA (313 nucleotides) under Manihot esculenta (cassava). RNAcentral describes it as "long non-coding RNA (MESC_LNC011750)". Lineage: Eukaryota; Viridiplantae; Streptophyta; Magnoliopsida; Malpighiales; Euphorbiaceae. The record is from RNAcentral.